GAUGAACGCUGGCGGCGUGCCUAAUACAUGCAAGUCGAGCGAACGGACGAGAAGCUUGCUCCUCUGAUGUUAGCGGCGGACGGGUGAGUAACACGUGGAUAACCUACCUAUAAGACUGGGAUAACUUCGGGAAACCGUAGCUAAUACCGGAUAAUAUUUUGAACCGCAUGGUUCAAAAGUGAAAGACGGUUUUGCUGUCACUUAUAGAUGGAUCCGCGCCGCAUUAGCUAGUUGGUAAGGUAACGGCUUACCAAGGCAACGAUGCGUAGCCGACCUGAGAGGGUGAUCGGCCACACUGGAACUGAGACACGGUCCAGACUCCUACGGGAGGCAGCAGUAGGGAAUCUUCCGCAAUGGGCGAAAGCCUGACGGAGCAACGCCGCGUGAGUGAUGAAGGUCUUCGGAUCGUAAAACUCUGUUAUUAGGGAAGAACAAAUGUGUAAGUAACUAUGCACGUCUUGACGGUACCUAAUCAGAAAGCCACGGCUAACUACGUG
RNAcentral lists this ribosomal RNA (497 nucleotides) under uncultured bacterium. RNAcentral's name for it is "partial 16S ribosomal RNA". It matches the Rfam family "Bacterial small subunit ribosomal RNA", at positions 28 to 507 of the family's 1533-position model. The record is from RNAcentral.